RNAcentral lists this transfer-messenger RNA (350 nucleotides) under Syntrophomonadaceae bacterium. It matches the Rfam family "transfer-messenger RNA". Rfam says of the family: Bacterial tmRNA, also known as 10Sa RNA or SsrA, is named for its dual tRNA and mRNA-like properties. RNAcentral also lists the same sequence under 2 other names. Lineage: Bacteria; Bacillati; Bacillota; Clostridia; Eubacteriales; Syntrophomonadaceae. The record is from RNAcentral.
GGGGGCGUAAUGGUUUCGACGGGGGAAUAGGUGGAAAGAGCAGCGAGCCGAGUUGGUGCCACCUCGUUAAAACGGUACAAAAAAAGUAACUGCAAACGAUAAUUACGCACUAGCGGCUUAAUGCCGCUCGUCCGGCCAGGUUUCCUAACGGCCUGGUGCAGGGCGUCAUCUAGUUAGGGUACCCUUCCAGCCCUUCUCUCUGGGGGCUUUAAGGGGAAACUAACAGGGAUAGCUUGAAGGAAGCCUGUUCGUGGGCGUCCGGAUAGCGAAAUCCAAAACACGAACUGCGCUCGGAGAUACUGUUUCCGUCGUUCUUUCGGACGGGGGUUCGACUCCCCCCGCCUCCACCA